UGACAACGGGGCAUGGGAACGCAGGGCUCAUGCCACAACUGUCCUAGAAAUAGAAAAUUCUUCCAAAGUAAAAAGUUUAUGUUUAAAAUAUAGGGAAAAGACUUGAAUAGACAUUUCACCAAAGACGACAUGUCAAUGGCAAAUAAACACAUCCAAAGGAGCUCAACCUCCAUGAAGAGGGGAAAAGCGCAUCGAAGCCCACUGCACACCUGCUGGAAUAACCCUGAUCAAAACCCAGAGGAUGGCAGGAGCCGCCCGACCUGCAAACAGCCACGGUGUCCCUGCUGACCCCGUGCCUCCAGCACAGCCUCCUCCUGGACUUGGGUAAGUCAAUCCCCCAACAGGUGCACCCUCCCCUCCAUUUCCACUCAGCCCUUAUCCCCCAGGGACCCACUCCACACCUGGGGGCCCUGUGUGGUGACCUCCUGCCAGGCCAGCCUGCCCCAGAGGGAGGAACACAGAAUCCAUUUGGAACCAAAAGGGACUCAGCUCAGCCGGGAAAAGUAGGCUCUUUAUUUCCAGCCUCACUGACCAUGCGCUGCUCUGUGCCCAUGGUGGGCCAGCCCUGGGCAUGAGGAGAUGAGCAGAGCUGGCCCCCGGACCCCUCCUUACCACGUCUGAACGGACAGCACUUCUGUGUCCAGGGGUGUGCGCCGGGCUCCCGGGCAGACAAUCCCUGGGCUUUCGCGACUGGCACUGAAAUGAGGCUGGGCAAGAAGGCACUGGGCCAGAUUCCUCCCUGGGGCACUUAAACGGGGCCACAGGGAAAGAAUCGAUGUGGUGACGGGUGGAGGUGGGGCUCCAUGGCAGCCACGGUCAGGAGCAAGCCCUCGGCAGCAAGGUAUAAAUAAGCCAAAGUGACAGGGGCAGAUGAGUGACACGGACAGACCACAUGCAGAGAGUGAGGGCGCCAAUGGAGGGUGCCACCGGCCAGUGUGAGCCGCAGGGAGAAGGCAGAUAGAGUGAGCUCCAGAGUCCUGACCCACGGACACCCAGGUCCUCUUGCCGGGCACCCGGAGCGCCUGGAAUCCAGUUCCCGAGGCCUUGGCGGGGGCUGCUGCUCCAGGACCCCCUGGUUAUGGCUGGGAUGAGUUUGCAGAGGAUGCCCCCACCACCAAGCUCACACCUAUAAACACUGAUCAUACAAAGUGUGUCAUUCUUGUCACACCAACUAAAACUGCCUUCGGAAGGCAGGGGAAAAGUACUCAGGGCACAACACUGCUCCAAGAAUGGAAUUCUCUGCAAGUCCAGCUGCUGAAACUGCCUUUUGUCACCUGGGACCAGUUUUAUCCACAGCUGCUGAGGUCACUUGCUCCAACUCCAGAAGGAAUUCUGCUCACAGCUGUCACACUGACCAGCACGUCCCAGGUCCUCAGAACUUUCCCAGCGCCAGUGAACUUUCUCAAAGAGCAAUAGGUAACCUUCUCCUUUCUUGUAAAACCACCAACCUUCUACUGCUUCUCCAACCUCCACCAUUUACCUGGUCGGCACAUAUGCCCCAAGAUGCAAUCCUUUCUUCCCAAAUAAAACGUUAAACUUGG
RNAcentral lists this long non-coding RNA (1541 nucleotides) under Homo sapiens (human). Its description in RNAcentral is "HSALNT0229489". The record is from RNAcentral. Lineage: Eukaryota; Metazoa; Chordata; Mammalia; Primates; Hominidae.